This 1196-nucleotide long non-coding RNA is filed under the name Zonotrichia albicollis (white-throated sparrow). RNAcentral's name for it is "lncRNA (ENSZALG00000013191.1)". The record is from RNAcentral. Lineage: Eukaryota; Metazoa; Chordata; Aves; Passeriformes; Passerellidae.
CAACUCAUCCACUCCCAAAUAAAAUUUGUGCAUUCCCAAAUAAAAUUCAUGCAUUCCCAAAUACAACUCCUGCAUUCCCAAAUACAAACUCAUGCAUUCCCAAAUACAAACUCAUGCAUUCCCAAAUAUUUCCAAAUAAAAUUUGUGCAUUCCCAAAUAAAAACUCACACAUUCCCAAAUACAACUCAUGCAUUCCUAAAUAAAACCUAUGCAUUCCCAAAUAAAAUUCAUGCAUUCCUAAAUACAACACAGGCAUUCCCAAAUACAAACUCACACACUCCCAAAUACAAUGCAUGCAUUCCUAAAUAAAGCUCACACAUUCCCAAAUAUUUCCAAAUAAAAUUCAUGCAUUCCCAAAUAAAAACUCCUGCAUUCCCAAAUACAACUCCUGCAUUCCCAAAUAUUCCCAAAUACAACUCCUGCAUUCCCAAAUAAAACCUAUGCAUUCCCAAAUAAAAUCCAUGCAUUCCUAAAUACAACACAGGCAUUCCCAUUAAAAACUCACACAUCCCUAAAUAUGAUUCAUGCAUUCCCAAAUAUUCCCAAAUAAAAUCCAUGCAUUCCUUAAUACAACACAUGCAUUCCCAUUAAAAACUCACACAUUCCUAAAUGUGAUUCAUGCAUUCCCAAAUACAACUCAUAUUUCCAAAUACAAUGCAUGCAUUCCCAAAUAAAAACUCACACAGUCCCAAAUACAACUCUUGCAUUCUUAAAUAAAAUUCAUGCAUUCCCAAAUAUUCCCUAACAAAACCUAUGCAUUCCCAAAUCAAAUUCAUGCAUUCCUAAAUACAACACAUGCAUUCCCAAUAAAAACUCACACAUCCCUAAAUAUGAUUCAUGCAUUCCUAAAUACAACUCCUGCAUUCCCAAAUAUUCCCAAAUACAACUCCUGCACUCCCAAAUAUUCCCCAGUAAAACAUAUGCAUUCCCAAAUCAAAUUCAUGCAUUCCCAAAUACAACUGCUGCCUUCCCAAAUAUUCUCAAAUAAAAUUCAUGCAUUCCCAAAUACAACUCCUGCCUUCCCAAAUAUUCUCAAAUCAAAUUCAUGCAUUCCCAAAUACAACUNAUUUUCCACUGAUUGUUGCAACUUCAUAGCCAUGGCAACUAAAUUAAUAAAUUAUCCAAUUCAUAUUAAGCCCCUAAAUAUCCAGCUGUUUCUUUGAUUAAAAAAUAAAAAUCAAUUUUUAAAAAAUCCA